This 2670-nucleotide long non-coding RNA is filed under the name Capsicum annuum. Its description in RNAcentral is "long non-coding RNA (CANN_LNC013334)". The record is from RNAcentral. Lineage: Eukaryota; Viridiplantae; Streptophyta; Magnoliopsida; Solanales; Solanaceae.
CGAAACUGCGUCGCCAUCCGCUACCACAACGACACCAACAGUCAUCAACGAUGGGUUCUCGAGAACCCAUCCUUGGUUUGUGUUCAUAUUUUUUAAAAUCUCAAAAAUCUUUUACUUGAUUAAUUUGACAUAUUUUUAUGACUUGAAGUUAAUUUGAGCAAGCAUUUUUGAUAAAUUUUGCGAGACGCUUAAUGUGAUUACUAAUUCCAACCUGUGUUUGAAAUUGUUAUGUGAGGGUUACGUCUUGACUUAGUCAGUGUUCUUGAUGAAGCAUUUGAUUGUAUAUUGGGUAAAAAAGUUAGUAUUAUUUUGUGUUACUUGUGAAAAAACUAUGGGGAUAAGUGAAAAGGUUGAAAAUUGAAAGUGAAUCUUCUAAAUUCGUAUAAAAUAUAAAGCAAGAAAAUAGGGUUUCUAAUUAUUUGAAUCUUGCCAUAUGUACAACUUGGUUUUUUAUACUAUGAUAUAAAGAUAAGGUAUAUCACAUUUUCCGUCGGAUUCUUGUUGUUGUUAAUGUACUUGUGACUGUCUUGUUGUUGUUAUAGUGUUGUUUUUGUCUUGUGUUGAUAAUCUUGUUUGGAUUGUUGACUGGAAAAUAGGUGUUAAACACCUCACUACAUUGUGUUCUUGUUAUUGUGUGUGAAUCCGAGAGUGUUCAUCCAUAGGGUCCUCGGUUCUCUUGAACUUGUGGACUGUUUUGGAUGUAUGUUUUGGUGUGUUCUUGGUCGCUGGUCGUUCUUGUAUCAAAAUGUGUAGUACUGACUUGAAAAUGGUUGAGUUUAGUUACUUGAAAGUGGAUACAUAUAGAAGUGUAGUUAUUUGAAAAUGGUUAAGUAUAGUGACUUGAAAAUGUGAAUUAGUUAAUUGAAAAUAGUUAAGUGUAGUGACUUGAAAUGCUAGUACAUGACUUGAAAAUGGUUAGGUGUAGUUACUUGAAAAUGGUUAAGUGUAGGAAAUUUAAAGGGGAUUUUGUGAAAGUGGUUUGGUUGGUGACUUAGUCACUUGAAAAUGGUUAAGUGUAGGGACUUUAAAGGGAUUUUUUUUUAAGGUACUUGAAACGUGGACUUGUAUUUUGAAUUUAGUUAUGUGUGGUCACUUGAGAAGUGAAUAAGUACUUGAAAAUGUUUAAGUGUAGGUAGUUGAAAUGUGGACUUGUGUUUUGAAUUUAGUUAAGUGUGGUCACUUGAAAAGUGAGUUAGUGACUUGAAAAUGCAUAAGUGUAGGUACUUGAAAUGUGGACUUGUGUUUCUAAUUUAGUUAAGUUUGGUCACUUGUGAAGUGAAUUAGUGACUUGGAAUGUUUAGAUGUAGUUACUUGAAUUAUGAACUUGUGUUUUGAAUAUAGUUAAGUGUGGUCACUUGAGAAGUGCAUUAGUGAGUCGAAAAUGUUUAAGUGUAGUUACUUGAAAAUUUUUAAUAGUGAAUUAAUGUUUAGAAGGUGAUGUGGUUGGUGACUUUAUUAGUUGAAAAUGCUUAAGUUUUGGUUUCUUUAAAAGUGAACUUUUGUUUAGAAGGUGAUGUUGAGGGUGACUUUAUUUGUUGAAAAUGAUUAAGUGUCGAUGACUUUAAUAGUGAAUUAGUUUCGUUGGUGUCUUUGUUAGUUGAAAAAGCUUAAGUUUUGGUGACUUUAAUAGUGAACUAGUGUUUAGAAGGUGAUGUUGUUGGUGACUUUAUUUGUUGAAAAUGCUUAAAUUUUGGUGACUUUAAUAGUGAAUUAGUGUUUAGGAGGUGAUGUGGUUGGUGACUAUUAUUAGUUAAAAAUGCUCAAGUUUUGGUGACUUUAAUAGUGAAUGUGUUUAGGGGGUGAUGUGGUUGGUGACUUUAUUAGUUGAAAAUGCUUAAGUGCCGGUGACUUUAAUAGUGAAUUAGUUUCGUUGGUGCCUUUGUUAGUUAAAAAACCUUAAGUUUUGGUGACUUUAAUAGUGAAUUAGUGUUUAGGAGGUGAUGUGGUUGGUGACUUUAUUAGUUGAAAAUGCUUAAGUGCCGGUGACUUUAAUAGUGCAUUAGUUUCGUUGGUGCCUUUGUUAGUUAAAAAACCUUAAGUUUUGGUGACUUUAAUAGUGAAUUAGUGUUUAGGAGGUGAUGUGGUUGGUGACUUUAUUAGUUGAAAAUGCUUAAGUGCCGGUGACUUUAAAAGUGAACUUUUUUUAAUCAAUUUUGCUAGAAUUAAAAAUCCAAUAAAUUAAAAAUCCAUCCUUUACUUUUUUGCAUGUGCGUAGUUCUCGAUUUUUAAGCAUAGUAUAAAUAUGUAUAUAUUUUGUCAAUGCGUGCAAAUACAUUUAUGUAGUUGAACUACUUUAUUUAACUUUAUUUUAUCAUAACAUUCAGAGAUUGUGGUGUAAUUGAAGCUGGAUAUGUGGGGAGUACUUGAGCGAAGGAAUACCAAUUUCUUCAGCAGAUGUUGAUGUAGCUACGAAUCGAUUAAGAUAUGCAUCUCUUUUAUGAAAAUACGGUGUGGUCAAGUCAAAGAAAUAUUAUGUUAGAGAUAACAAUGAUCCUCCAAGACCAAGGCCUAGUUUUGUUCCAUCACUUGCUGAAUUAUGGAUUUGUUAGUUUAGAAUAGUUCAGAAAUUAACGGAUGUUUUGAAAAUUUUGAUUGAAACUUUAUUUUUAAAAUGAAUGAUAAAGACAUGUUAUGUAUGUUUAUGCUCAAGUUAUAUGUUUUGAUUUCGGG